GAUGAACGCUGGCGGCGUGCCUAAUACAUGCAAGUCGAGCGAACAGACGAGGAGCUUGCUCCUCUGACGUUAGCGGCGGACGGGUGAGUAACACGUGGAUAACCUACCUAUAAGACUGGGAUAACUUCGGGAAACCGGAGCUAAUACCGGAUAAUAUAUUGAACCGCAUGGUUCAAUAGUGAAAGACGGUUUUGCUGUCACUUAUAGAUGGAUCCGCGCCGCAUUAGCUAGUUGGUAAGGUAACGGCUUACCAAGGCAACGAUGCGUAGCCGACCUGAGAGGGUGAUCGGCCACAUGGGAACUGAGACACGGUCCAGACUCCUACGGGAGGCAGCAGUAGGGAAUCUUCCGCAAUGGGCGAAAGCCUUGCGGAGCAACGCCGCGCGAGUGAUGAAGGUCUUCGGAUCGUAAUACUCUGUUAUUAGGGAAGAACAAAUGUGUAAGUAACUAUGCACGUCUUGACGGUACCUAAUCAGAAAGCCACGGCUAACUACGUG
RNAcentral lists this ribosomal RNA (497 nucleotides) under uncultured bacterium. RNAcentral's name for it is "partial 16S ribosomal RNA". It matches the Rfam family "Bacterial small subunit ribosomal RNA", at positions 28 to 507 of the family's 1533-position model. The record is from RNAcentral.